AACGGUGGAUCACUUGGCUCGUACGUCGGUGAAAAACGAGGCGAGACUCGAAAGUUUAUGUGAAUUGCAGCCACGUUGAACAUAGAAAUUUUGAACGCACAUUGCGGUGUUGAGUUGACUCGACGCCGCGUCUGUCUGAGGGUCGUUAC
Molecule: ribosomal RNA, 149 nt
Filed under: Trichinella spiralis
Lineage: Eukaryota; Metazoa; Nematoda; Enoplea; Trichinellida; Trichinellidae
Description: 5.8S ribosomal RNA
Rfam family: 5.8S ribosomal RNA
About the family: 5.8S ribosomal RNA (5.8S rRNA) is a component of the large subunit of the eukaryotic ribosome. It is transcribed by RNA polymerase I as part of the 45S precursor that also contains 18S and 28S rRNA.
Source: RNAcentral